This 73-nucleotide transfer RNA is filed under the name Micromonospora sp. CNZ299. Its description in RNAcentral is "tRNA-Leu". RNAcentral also lists the same sequence under 1 other name. Lineage: Bacteria; Bacillati; Actinomycetota; Actinomycetes; Micromonosporales; Micromonosporaceae. The record is from RNAcentral.
GCCCUCGUAGCCCAAUGGAAGAGGCGCGGUCGUGAGGCGGCCGUAGUUGCACGUUCGACUCGUGUCGAGGGCA